Ylistrum balloti is the source of this 677-nucleotide long non-coding RNA. RefSeq lists it as uncharacterized. Lineage: Eukaryota; Metazoa; Mollusca; Bivalvia; Pectinida; Pectinidae. The record is from RefSeq and is a predicted model, not a curated record. The transcript is spliced from 3 exons.
AUCUGAACGGCUCUGUAAGCCUCGACAUGCCGGUCGAGGUACAUAAACAGAGGGUUCUGAAGUACUCUCAGGCUCUUGUGGGAUGCUCCGGACAGGCUGCAGCAUAUGGGAAAUGUGUUGCCAUCAAGGCCAACCUUAAGAAAGGAGAUUGUGAAAAGGAAUUUCUGUUACUCAAAGAAUGUAUGCAGGCUGGUAUGAAGAAAAUUAAAUAAUGGUAACCAUGGAGGAAGGAUAAUUUAUGAAGCAGUGUUGAGUUCAUCACCAUGGAGGAAGGAUGAUUUAUGAAGCGAUGUUGAGUUCAUCACCAUGGAGAAGGGUAAUUUAUGAAGCAGUGUUGACUUCAUCACCAUGGAGGAAGGAUAAUUUAUGAAGCAGUGCUGAGUUCAUCACCAUGGAGGAAGGAUAAUUUAUGAAGCAGUGUUGAGUUCAUCACCAUGGAGGAAGGAUAAUUUAUGAAGCAGCGUUGAGUUCAUCACCAUGGAGGAAGGAUAAUUUAUGAAGCGGUGCUGAGUUCAGACUAUCGAAGUGUUUUUUUUUCAAAACUUGUAUAAACUUUAGAUCACACCUGUGUUGAACACCAAGCAGAUUCAAUAUCUAAUAGUGUUGAGUUCACCGAUUAUUUUGCAUAUACAUGUACAUAAAAUGUAAAUAUUGAAAAUAUAAGAUUAAAACGAAAA